RNAcentral lists this long non-coding RNA (304 nucleotides) under Heterocephalus glaber (naked mole-rat). RNAcentral's name for it is "lncRNA (ENSHGLG00000048962.1)". Lineage: Eukaryota; Metazoa; Chordata; Mammalia; Rodentia; Bathyergidae. The record is from RNAcentral.
CCCCGGGCCACCCCUUCCCCAGGGCCAACCCCUCGGAGAACUCUGCGACAACCCGCGACCCGCACGCGAACCCCUCCCCAUCGCACCCCGCGGCUCCUAGCGAACCCUCCUCCUCCAAGCGCGGCACCUCCGUCUUGUUCCCGGAGCCUGCCUCCUCCCUCCCUCUCACCAUGGUAGGAGGCAAGGACCUGCACAACCACAGCUGUGUGACCACAGGCCAGACGACUCACCCUUUGAACCCUGGCUCCCCUGCUGCCCUGUGAGGGGGAUAAUAACCUUGGCUGGGCCAUGGCCCAGGCUGUGG